CCUACGGGAGGCAGCAGUGGGGAAUUUUGGACAAUGGGCGCAAGCCUGAUCCAGCAAUGCCGCGUGCAGGAUGAAGGCCUUCGGGUUGUAAACUGCUUUUGUACGGAACGAAACGGCCCUUUCUAAUACAAGGGGCUAAUGACGGUACCGUAAGAAUAAGCACCGGCUAACUACGUGCCAGCAGCCGCGGUAAUACGUAAGGUGCGAGCGUUAAUCGGAAUUACUGGGCGUAAAGCGAGCGCAGGCGGUUAUAUAAGACAGAUGUGAAAUCCCCGGGCUCAACCUGGGACCUGCAUUUGUGACUGUAUAGCUAGAGUACGGUAGAGGGGGAUGGAAUUCCGCGUGUAGCAGUGAAAUGCGUAGAUAUGCGGAGGAACACCGAUGGCGAAGGCAAUCCCCUGGACCUGUACUGACGCUCAUGCACGAAAGCGUGGGGAGCAAACAGGAUUAGAUACCCUGGUAGUCCACGCCCUAAACGAUGUCAACUGGUUGUUGGGUCUUCACUGACUCAGUAACGAAGCUAACGCGUGAGUUGACCGCCUGGGGAGUACGGCCGCAAGGUUGAAACUCAAAGAGUAGUCGCGNGNGAGAGCGACGACGACGACGAGGAGGAGGAGG
This 618-nucleotide ribosomal RNA is filed under the name uncultured bacterium. RNAcentral describes it as "bacterial SSU rRNA". It matches the Rfam family "Bacterial small subunit ribosomal RNA", at positions 338 to 944 of the family's 1533-position model. The record is from RNAcentral.